Molecule: ribosomal RNA, 118 nt
Filed under: Triticum aestivum (bread wheat)
Lineage: Eukaryota; Viridiplantae; Streptophyta; Magnoliopsida; Poales; Poaceae
Description: rRNA SSU_rRNA_eukarya
Rfam family: Eukaryotic small subunit ribosomal RNA
Source: RNAcentral
AUAACAAUACCGGGCGCAUUAGUGUCUGGUAAUUGGAAUGAGUACAAUCUAAAUCCCAUAACGAGGAUCCAUUGGAGGGCAAGUCUGGUGCCAGGAGCCACGGUAAUUCCAGCUCCAA